This 494-nucleotide ribosomal RNA is filed under the name uncultured bacterium. Its description in RNAcentral is "bacterial SSU rRNA". It matches the Rfam family "Bacterial small subunit ribosomal RNA", at positions 28 to 537 of the family's 1533-position model. The record is from RNAcentral.
GACGAACGCUGGCGGCGUGCUUAACACAUGCAAGUCGAACGAGGUCCAUGUGAUGGCAACAUCACGGAAGACCUAGUGGCGAACGGGUGCGUAACACGUGAGGAACCUGCCCCGAUCUCUGGGAUAACAGUUGGAAACGACUGCUAAUACCGGAUACCGCUUCUGCAUCGCAUGGUGCGGAAACGAAAGAUUUAUCGGAUCGGGAGGGUCUCGCGGCCUAUCAGCUAGUUGGUGGGUAAAGGCCUACCAAGGCAUCGACGGGUAGCUGGUCUGAGAGGAUGAUCAGCCACACUGGGACUGAGACACGGCCCAGACUCCUACGGGAGGCAGCAGUGGGGAAUCUUGCGCAAUGGGCGAAAGCCUGACGCAGCAACGCCGCGUGGGGGAAGAAGGCUCUCGGGUUGUAAACCCCUUUCAGUAGGAACGAAAAUGACGGUACCUGCAGAAGAAGGUGCGGCCAACUACGUGCCAGCAGCCGCGGUAAUAGUACUCUA